AAGGAGACCUGCUUUGAGUGAAGUACAGCUAAGACUGAGGAAGAGCGAGUGUAGGAAUGCUGAAAAAGGUAUUACAUAAAUCUAUCACUGAAAAAUAUUGGCAGUCCACAGGAAUAGCUCAUAAUAAGGGUAGAUUCUCCCCAAUGCCUACUUUUGAAGAGGCUAUAGAGGAUCACGGCGAUCUUCCAGAGAGCAGAAUGGUGACACCCAGACUGACCGGCCAAGAAAUCCCCACGCUGUAGGACGGGGAGU
Molecule: long non-coding RNA, 252 nt
Organism: Rhinolophus ferrumequinum (greater horseshoe bat)
Lineage: Eukaryota; Metazoa; Chordata; Mammalia; Chiroptera; Rhinolophidae
Exons: 3
Source: RefSeq, a predicted model, not a curated record